AGAGUUUGAUCCUGGCUACAGAACGAACGCUGGCGGCAUGCCUAACACAUGCAAGUCGAACGAGACCUUCGGGUCUAGUGGCGCACGGGUGCGUAACGCGUGGGAAUCUGCCCUUGGGUUCGGAAUAACAGCGAGAAAUUGCUGCUAAUACCGGAUGAUGACGUAAGUCCAAAGAUUUAUCGCCCAAGGAUGAGCCCGCGUAGGAUUAGCUAGUUGGUGAGGUAAAGGCUCACCAAGGCGACGAUCCUUAGCUGGUCUGAGAGGAUGAUCAGCCACACUGGGACUGAGACACGGCCCAGACUCCUACGGGAGGCAGCAGUGGGGAAUAUUGGACAAUGGGCGAAAGCCUGAUCCAGCAAUGCCGCGUGAGUGAUGAAGGCCUUAGGGUUGUAAAGCUCUUUUACCCGGGAUGAUAAUGACAGUACCGGGAGAAUAAGCUCCGGCUAACUCCGUG
This 454-nucleotide ribosomal RNA is filed under the name uncultured bacterium. RNAcentral describes it as "bacterial SSU rRNA". It matches the Rfam family "Bacterial small subunit ribosomal RNA", at positions 8 to 507 of the family's 1533-position model. The record is from RNAcentral.